GAUCCAUGGGAUGGGAUGGGAUCCAUGGGCUGGGAUCCAUGGGGUGGGAUCCAUGGGAUGGGAUGGGAUGGGAUCCAUGGGAUGGGAUCCAUGGGAUGGGAUGGGAUCCACGGGAUGGGAUCCAUGGGAUGGCCCGGCGGGAUCCGGCGCGGAGCCGCUGACGCCGUGGCUGUGGCAGGUACGUGGAUUACCCCAUCUACGACGUGCUGCAGAUGGUCGGCCACGCCAACCGCCCGCUGCAGGACGACGAGGGCCGCUGCGUCAUCAUGUGCCAGGGCUCCAAGAAGGUGGGGGAGGCAGCCGGGGACAUUCCCGGGAUUUCAGCCGGGAUUCUCCUGCUCCAGCUGCCGGAUGAGCCUCACUCGGGGCUGGGAUGGGAUCCCUGGGAUCCAAACCCUCCCUCAGGGCUGGGAUCACCACGGGGACCACCCAGACCCUCCCGGGGCGCCACACUGGGAAUUCCCGCGGCGUCUGUGGGAUGAAUCCCUGAAUUCUCUCCCUCUUCCCGCCCGUCCUGCCCCAGGAUUUCUUCAAGAAGUUCCUGUACGAGCCGCUGCCGGUGGAGUCGCACCUGGACCACUGCAUGCACGACCACUUCAACGCCGAGAUCGUCACCAAGACCAUCGAGAACAAGCAGGACGCCGUGGAUUACCUGACCUGGACCUUCCUGUACCGCAGGAUGACCCAGAACCCCAACUACUACAACCUGCAAGGUGGGAAUGGGAGCUGCGGGGGGAUCUGGGGUGGUUAUGGUGGUGGCAGUCCUGUCCUGUCCCAUCCUGUCCCUGUUCUCAUGGAUCCAGUCCCAUCCCAUGGAUCCCAUCCCACCCCUGUUCCUGUCCUUGUUCCCAUCCCAUGGAUCCCAUCCCAGUUCUCAUGGAUCCCAUCCCAGCCCUGUUCCCAUCCUUAUUCCCCCCCUAUUCAUCCCAUCCCUAUUCCCAUGGAUCCCAUGGAUCCCAUCCCAUCCCAUCCCAUGGAUCCCAUCCCAUCCCAUGGAUCCCAUCCCAUGGAUCCCAUCCCAUGGAUCCCAUCCCAUGGAUCCCAUCCCAUGGAUCCCAUCCCAU
This 1064-nucleotide long non-coding RNA is filed under the name Cyanistes caeruleus (blue tit). RNAcentral describes it as "lncRNA (ENSCCEG00000004191.1)". The record is from RNAcentral. Lineage: Eukaryota; Metazoa; Chordata; Aves; Passeriformes; Paridae.